Molecule: unclassified non-coding RNA, 363 nt
Filed under: uncultured bacterium
Lineage: Bacteria
Description: contains 16S-23S intergenic spacer region
Source: RNAcentral
UCCCCGUUGCCGGGGCAGUCUGAUUAGAAAAAUACAACUAAUCACAAGGGUUGCGCUCGUUAAUGGACUUAACCAAACAUCUCACGACACGAGCUGACGACGGCCAUGCAACACCUGUCACUUGGCUCAAUAAAGCACUCACUACUUUCGUAGUAAUUCCAAGGAUGUCAAGCCCUGGUAAGGUUCUUCGUUUAUCAUCGAAUUAAAGAACAUAAUCCACCGCUUGUGCGGGUCCCCGUCAAUUCCUUUAUGUUUUAGUCUUGCGACCGUACUCCACAGGCGGGAUACUUAACGCGUUAGCUUCGCUACUGAAGGGGUCGAUACCUCCAACAGCUAGUAUCCAUCGUUUACGGCGUGGACUAC